UGUUGUCAUAAAACGGUAUAUAGGGCCUUGCAUAAAACCUUUAACAUUUAUCAGGCCGAAGAAACCUCCAUCCUCCGGUCAGUGAGGGCCGCGGGCGGCUGCGAAAGCUCUCGGCACCGGACGACCGCAGCUCGUCCUCUAGCGGUGCAGCUCGGCGUGGCCCGGGGACUCGAGUGUGACCAAACGGCGCCGGUAUUUCACGAGAGCACCGCCCACCGCCCACGGUCCACUUUAGCGCGCCAUCGGCGCCGCCAGACGUGCAGGCUUUGCUACGAGCUGUACGAGGUGCAGCACCAGUGCCAGCAGUGUGGCAAAUGUUUUAAGAUCCUGAAGUCGGCGACGAGCACCAGGCCUCCUGCUGGCAGACCAGCAAGACGAGCUCCGGGCCGCAAUGUCCACAGCCUGGGCCGUCGAGGCGGCCUGGUAGGGCAAGGUGGAGCGAGCAGUAUAUCCAUUAUCCAGCUGUUUCUCAACUCCAUGGAGACCCGGUACCAGCGCUUCAGAUGACGAGAAGCCUCAAGAGGGCAUCUUGGCGCGAGGCGACCUUCUCGGAGUGGCGGCCGAGGAAGCCAGUGCUCUCUGGAACUCCAACAGGAGGAGCCGGGGCCACCGUGAAACCUACUGACGACAUAUAGGUGACUCUAAAAAUAUUUGAACCGGCAGAACAGUCACUGCCCCAACAGUGAUCUACCGCGAAAGGACAAAGCGAAUAA
Amphibalanus amphitrite is the source of this 713-nucleotide long non-coding RNA. RefSeq lists it as uncharacterized. The record is from RefSeq and is a predicted model, not a curated record. The transcript is spliced from 3 exons. NCBI's taxonomy places the organism in Eukaryota, Metazoa, Arthropoda, Thecostraca, Balanomorpha, Balanidae.